GUGAACGCUGGCGGUAGGCCUAACACAUGCAAGUCGAACGGCAGCACAGUAAGAGCUUGCUCUUACGGGUGGCGAGUGGCGGACGGGUGAGGAAUACAUCGGAAUCUACUUUUUCGUGGGGGAUAACGUAGGGAAACUUACGCUAAUACCGCAUACGACCUACGGGUGAAAGCAGGGGAUCUUCGGACCUUGCGCGAUUGAAUGAGCCGAUGUCGGAUUAGCUAGUUGGCGGGGUAAAGGCCCACCAAGGCGACGAUCCGUAGCUGGUCUGAGAGGAUGAUCAGCCACACUGGAACUGAGACACGGUCCAGACCCCUACGGGAGGCAGCAGUGGGGAAUAUUGGACAAUGGGCGCAAGCCUGAUCCAGCCAUACCGCGUGGGUGAAGAAGGCCUUCGGGUUGUAAAGCCCUUUUGUUGGGAAAGAAAAGCAGCAGGUUAAUACCCCGCUGUUCUGACGGUACCCAAAGAGUAAGCACCGGCUAACUUCGUG
RNAcentral lists this ribosomal RNA (491 nucleotides) under uncultured bacterium. Its description in RNAcentral is "partial 16S ribosomal RNA". It matches the Rfam family "Bacterial small subunit ribosomal RNA", at positions 29 to 507 of the family's 1533-position model. The record is from RNAcentral.